UCACAUUUUGGUCGGAGAUGCUGCUGCUCUAGUGUGACAUCUAGUGGUGAAUUUUGCGUAUAUAACUUUGAAUGAGCACGAUCCUCAAGUGUGAUAAGGACAUUUGGUUUCAGCCUUGCAGAAGGUUGGCUGAACAGCAUCACAACAGGAUGUGAUGUCAGGAGGCUGUAAGAGGUUGUUAUUGCCACGUCAACGUGUCUGCCUUCGUUGUGCCUUCAGCAGGUGGUGUCCAGUCAGCUUGUUCCAGCUCAUGAAGCCGCGUCCAGUGGCCGUUGAGUCUUCAUGUUUCUUUCCUUCCUGUUUUGCUCUUUUUGGUCAAUGUCACUGCUGGCCACGCCCACAGGAAAUAGCAUAUGGCCUUUAUAAAGUCAGAAUGUCUACCUUUAUUACACAGACUGUUAAUGUCCUUUUAAUGUGUUAGAAGUUGCACAUUGCAGCUUUUAAAUUCCCUCCCACUCUUGCUGUAUCUGCCUCCCUAAACAGAGACAUCGCCGAAGAAUAAAUCAGCGAAUCAAAACGACUCGGAGCAUCCGGUCGCCACGAUGGUGACAAACACAAACGUUGUGUGCUCGGGAGAAAUUGAUUGUGUUUCUGUCGUUUCCCUCCCUCGUAUGGAUUUUCUGUUAGACGUGGAGGAGGAGGAGGAGGAGGAGGAGGAGGAAACAACGGGAGAGGCAGAGAUGUGGAGAAUGGAGUUGCCAUGGUGACCGUUGGCAUGUUGGGGGGUGCAGUGAGUGUUUGCGAGUGAGUGAGUGAAGGCGUGUUUGUGUGUGUCUGUUUCAUAGAUUUCAGGUGUUGCGGGGGAUUAUUCUGCUGAGGAGACACAAGAGCAGUAAUGCAGCUUCAGUAUCACAGCUUCAACAUGAGGAUACACCAUCAGAAACACCAACACGUGUCUUUCAAAAAGCUGCUCUUCACGGAAGAGUUCAAUCCAAAAGAAUGCUGCACAAGUUCUAAGAAAAUGUCUUCUGGAAGGGUGGAGUACCUGUGUAAAGGCCCUGCUGCACCCCCACACAGGUGUUCACUCUCAGGCUGGCUGAGUAGAUCUCUGCUCGGGUUGAAGAUGGGCGGAGCUACGCUGCAAUUACACAAUGUCACCAAACUUCAUGGACCAAUAAGAAUGAAGAUGAUGUGGUGACUUUUCCACCCAAACAGGUGCAACAGAUUUCAUAAUCGGGCCAACAAAGCUUUAAAUGCCCACGUGGUUCUGAGAGGGACUUUAAUUAGACGAAGUGUGUGUGGGUCUGUAAGUGCACCCAAAGACUGUGUUUAGUAUGAAAAGAUAAAAUGCCUUAACAUGUGUUCUAGUUGGUGUGAUGUUAUGAAAGUUAUAUUUAACAGUACAACUUUAAAAAUUUUGUAUCACAUGAAAUAAUCAUACUUUUAUCACCAAAAUCAGGAUUUUUUUUUUUUUUUACCAACAAUGCUAAAAUUGUACCUGUUAAAUGUUUUCCAUAUGAAAUAAUCCAUUUUGCACAGCCUAUAUGUGCCUAUCUGGGAUAUUCAACUUGCUAUGAGUUUAUAGAUCUCAAAUAUCUGAUUGUGCUCCUUAUAGUUUCUGAGAUACUGCCUUUUUUUUAAAUUUGUGUGUCUAACUUUUAUUUGGAAUAUAUAGAUAGGAGCCAAUCGCAUGUCAAAAUAAUAAAAAUCCCUCCAUUUUUAUUGCUUAUUUUAGAGCAUUUUCUACCAUUUUAGGAAGAAAACUACUAAAUACUAAACAGUACUAGGACAAACUCACGUUUCAGCCAAACUGUUGAACAUUUCUUCAGUUUUGUGCUUUAGGAAACCGAAGUGCUUUUGUUAACCACACGUGGACCUCAGGAUGUGAACCUUUUCCUGUGCUCGCUCUUUACACCCACCAUCGACCCCGACCACCUCCCUGAGACUUACAUGUGGCACAUAAACGUAGAGCUUCCUACACUCUGAGCAGCAAUUACAUAUUCCAUCAAACUGUAAUUAGCAAAAACGUAAAUUCUAGGAUAUAGGGACGUCCCUGUGGUGCUUUUAUCAGCCACAUAUGGUGGGAGAGAUGGCUGGUGAAUUAUGUAUAUCCCACUCUCUUUAUUUAAUGUCUGUCUCGUGAGUGGACGCCUCCUGAAGACUGCAGCAGAGGCAGAAAUGUCAGCGUCUUGUUUUCAAGGUUACUUUUUAAGGUUUUUGAAGUUUUCCACAUCAACCGAGCAGAAAAACCUUUUGAGGUAUUUGGGCUUUUUAUUGAAUUCCUGGCAUUUAGAUUUUGGUUGAAGUCACAAAUCCACAUACAAAUGAGUGGAAAUGUGUCAGUCUCAUCCAAAUAAACACUGUUCAAACUCUAAUUUAGAUCCCAGAGUUUCCAAAGAUACACAUUUGUCAGUUUGAAUAUUUGGGAAAUGAGACAAAUUGGCAUCUUUUCAAGAUUUCAUCUAAAAUAUACAUCAUACAGCAGACAGAGAAUAUAUUUUAUACUGACAGUGAUUUGUUUUAAAGGCACUGAAAGAGAAAACCAAGUUGAAUAAAAAGCAGCAUUAAUGAGAAUUAAUGCAAGAGGAGUAAACUUUAUUCUUUUAAAUCAAUAUAAUAACUUUAUAUUAAAUAUUAUUAUUCAAUAAACUAUGAAGAAAUAAUUUAUAUGCAAACAGAAAUUAGCGUUCUUCAUUUUGAUGCUGCUCUAGUUUGUCCUCCACAACAUCCCUGAGCAUUUAUAUUUUAAUACCAUGCUGUCAGUCACGUUUAAAGAGUCGUAAUAGAUCAGCUCUGGUGCGAGCAGGAGCAGACCACAACAACCGGACGGGGUCUAAUGGGUUUUAUUAUCUCAGAGGGGUCGGAGGUCGAAGUUGAGGUCGAGCUCUUCAUGUUUUCUCUUCAUUUCUGCUCCCGGAGGUCUCCGACCCAACUGACCACAAACACAACGCUGCCAAGUCCAUUUUUCUAAUGGCUUAUUCCUGUUGGCUAAAAUCUGUAUGUAAGAGGGGAGAAAAUCUCAAAGGUCUUUAUGACAAAUCGUUUAAAACUAUAAACGGAAAAUUCUAACUCAUUAUCAGGAUUUUAUUGUCACUUCCAAAAGAUCUGUUAGAUUAAAACAUUAUAAUAAUGUAUAGUUGGAAAACAGCAGACAAAGUUAGCAUGAACUUGCAUAAAAACAUUUUUUUCCUCAGGAGUUGGUGGAGACCAAAACCAGAGCUAAAAGGAGAGUGACAAUUGGACUCUGAUUCAUCAGCUGGACACAAAUAUGACACACAAGAAGCAAGUGAAUUAAACUUCGCUUUGUGAGCGUACACACACAAUAAGGUGAUAAUAUGUCAGCAAGGACAAACAUUUUUAUUAUUAGCAGUAGCAGUCAUACUAGUGUUAAGGAAUAAGAAUGCUGUUGUGUUUGAAUAUUUUCAUGCAUGCAACAGUUUUGUGUUCUGGUAUGAAACAACAGCCUCACCGAGCUGCUGCUGGGCCUCUCAAAAUUGUACUGCUGCAACAUAAAACAUUGUUUCACCAACACGCUCCCCCUGUUUCCUCCUCCUCUGUCACACACACACACACACACACACACACACACACACACACACACACACACGUGGAGAGCCUGUGGCAUCGCAGCUGAGCUCGGAUUAUUACCUCAGAGCUCAAGAGCCUGUUGUCUGCAUCAAAUGAAGCAGCCAAGUUGAAACAGAGUCCAGAGACGAGCGUUUAUUCACAGCUAAUAAGUCUCCAUUCACCCCCCCCCCCCCAAAUAAAAACCAACCAGAAGUAAUAAUGAAGUUUAUCAUUUCAGCGCAGAGACAGAACUGACAGCAAGUGACGUGAUCAGACAUCAGAAGUCAUUUCCUCAUUGCACUGUGGACACGGGAGAUGAUGGCGGGAUGAUGGCCGCCCUCGCCUCGCCGCCAUCGGGGGCCCUGGUGAAACAAACGUAUUCGAGUGUGGACAACAUGGCGGUUGACUUUGGAUCAGAGCUGCAUCUGUCGCUGAAAAAUGGAUAAAAAUACUGGAGUCGAACUAACGAUCUCUGAAGCUGUUUGAAUAUGAAUCAGAUGUCACUUUCACCAUGGCAACCGCCUCCUUCCCGCCGGUGAUGCUCUUCAGUUGACCACAAAGAGUCGACCGCCAUCUGGGCUAACAGGCGGAGGGAGGAGGGAGAGCAGCACACAACACACACACACACACACACACACACACACACACACACACACACACACACACACACACACACACACACACAGAAAACAAUGCACAACACACAGAUGAACACACACACACAACUCAUAAAUGUGCGCCAAAAAACAACACAAAGCCUCGCCUGAACAACCCUGAUUUAACCAGAAGAAUACAAAGAUUGAAAGCUUUAUUGACACUGAGUAACUAGAUUGACAGGACGCCUCAAACUGCAGAUCAGGUCAAUUAUUACUCUGCUAGAAAAGCUGUUUCUAUGUGCACAUUAAACCGCCUUCAACCCUCCUCUAACGGAUCUUUUAUAUUUAGUUCUUUCAGACAAAUCAGGUUUACAACGAUUUAAAAUAAAGAACUACAAACGUAUUCAAAGAUUCAUUCAAAUUUUUGCUCCCUAUAAAACCUUAAUCUGACCUCCAUCCGCCUUCAUUUACCACCAGUAGAGAUUUUUCCUCCCCUUUAAUGAUUUAAGUGCAUCUUCCACGGUUAAGUUGGUUUUUGUCUGUUGUUAUGAUUGGGUGUCUGCGCACUGUGCGCAGGGUGUUUUAUUUUGAACAUUUAUCGGAUUCUCUGCUGUUUCUGUGUCUUACUUUCUUCUUAGAGGCUAACAGAUCAAUUUCAGUCUAAAACUUGAUUUAUGAUUAAAUGUUAUGUUUAGUAGCUCUCUACUUUUUGAAUAAUUUUAAAAACCUACGUUAAUUUUCAUUGAUUUUCUGUGUUUUUAAAUGGUUGUAGUUGGUGCUACCUUUAGUUGAACUCAUGCUGCUAUUCUUUUUGAUUGUUUUUAAAGGUACAAUAUGUAACAUUAAAACAUCUAUAGAUAUUAUCAAAUAUAUACAUUAUCCCGAUUGCUUCCAACAAUGUUCAGAAUUUUAUUCAUAUUCAUUCAGGUUUCGUCGGGUCGCCUGUUAAUGGUGUCACAUCCUCUAGUUGCUAUAAUUUCACACGAUCAUCGGAGCCGACAUGACUAAACGUAACACGGACAAAACUUUAAUACAUUAUCUCGUCCGUUAAUGAUUUCUGCCUUUCUGAGUUACAUCAGAGAGAUUUUAUUAGAAAUGGUUUUUGUUUAACAAUAAAGACAACAACUCCCAUUAUCACAUACUACUUCACAAAGUCAUCAACCUGCGUCUCUUUUGUUGUUGUUUGUUGAUGUGGCAGACAAUUGAAAUACAUCUCCCCCUGGUGGCUGACUGCAGUAUAGACUCUCUCUCUAUCUCCCCUGGUGGCUGACUGCAGUAUAGACUCUCUCUCUCUCUCUCUCUCUCCCCCCUGGUGGCUGACUGCAGUAUAGACUCUCUCUCUCUCUCUCUAUCUCCCCCUGGUGGCUGACUGCAGUAUAGACUCUCUCUCUAUCUCCCCUGGUGGCUGACUGCAGUAUAGACUCUCUCUCUCUCUCUCUCUCUCUCUCUCUAUCUCCCCCUGGUGGCUGACUGCAGUAUAGACUCUCUCUCUCUCUCUCUCUCUCUCCCCCUGGUGGCUGACUGCAGUAUAGACUCUCUCUCUCUCUCUCUAUCUCCCCCUGGUGGCUGACUGCAGUACAGCUCAUAAAGCCUCCAGAUGCAACAAAAAUAAAUCAAAGUCAAAUAAAAUUUUCACAAACACGGUUUCUGUCAUUUUAGGUUGUUCUCAUCACGCUGAUUUUUGUUCCAGUGUUCAUUUCUCUAUAAGACUGAAUGGUACCUGUGUGUUAUUGUAGCCAAUGAAGCUGCCCCCUGCUGGCCUUUACAUUGAAUGCAGGUUUAAGUCACUUCUGCGUUGCCUUCACUUUCUGUCUGCUGUUUAUACUGUCAAUGAGUGGGAGGAAGCAGAAGCACGGCAUCGAUGACAAACCCCCUAGUAGCAUUAAUGACGUAUUGCUCUCUUGAGGUUACUUGCAUUUACAUUACAUUAUAAUGUUCUAGCAAGGUGCUAUCUAAAUAAAAAUGUUACUGACUGAAAGCCAAAACAGGAUCC
Dicentrarchus labrax (European seabass) is the source of this 6096-nucleotide long non-coding RNA. NCBI's taxonomy places the organism in Eukaryota, Metazoa, Chordata, Actinopteri, Moronidae. The record is from Ensembl.